Molecule: ribosomal RNA, 502 nt
Filed under: uncultured bacterium
Lineage: Bacteria
Description: bacterial SSU rRNA
Rfam family: Bacterial small subunit ribosomal RNA
Source: RNAcentral
GAUCAUGGCUCAGGAUGAACGCUGGCGGCGUGCCUAAUACAUGCAAGUCGAACGAAGAAGUAAGCUUGCUUACUUCUUAGUGGCGAACGGGUGAGUAAUACAUAAGCAAUCUGCCCAUAUGCCUGGGAUAACCGUUGGAAACGAUGGCUAAUACCGGAUAGGUGAAUUGAAGGCAUCUUUGAUUCAUUAAAGUUGGGAUACAACACAUAUGGAUGAGCUUAUGGCGCAUUAGCUAGUUGGUGAGGUAACGGCUCACCAAGGCGAUGAUGCGUAGCCGACCUGAGAGGGUGACCGGCCACACUGGGACUGAGACACGGCCCAGACUCCUACGGGAGGCAACAGUAGGGAAUUUUCGGCAAUGGGGGAAACCCUGACCGAGCAACGCCGCGUGAGUGAAGAAGGCCUUCGGGUUGUAAAGCUCUGUUGUAAGGGAAGAAGAGAUCAUAGAGGGAAUGCUAUGAUUGUGACGGUACCUUACCAGAAAGCCACGGCUAACUACGUG